Molecule: ribosomal RNA, 468 nt
Filed under: uncultured bacterium
Lineage: Bacteria
Description: partial 16S ribosomal RNA
Rfam family: Bacterial small subunit ribosomal RNA
Source: RNAcentral
GACGAACGCUGGCGGCGUGCUUAACACAUGCAAGUCGAACGGAAAGGCCCUGCUUUUGUGGGGUGCUCGAGUGGCGAACGGGUGAGUAACACGUGAGUAACCUGCCCUUGACUUUGGGAUAACUUCAGGAAACUGGGGCUAAUACCGGAUAGGAGCUCCUGCUGCAUGGUGGGGGUUGGAAAGUUUCGGCGGUUGGGGAUGGACUCGCGGCUUAUCAGCUUGUUGGUGGGGUAGUGGCUUACCAAGGCUUUGACGGGUAGCCGGCCUGAGAGGGUGACCGGGGACCUUGGGCCUGCGAUACGGCGCAGAGGCCUACGGGAGGCAGCAGGGGCGAAUAUUGUCCAAUGGGAGGAAGCGUGAUGCAGCAACGCCGCGUGCGGGAUGACGGUUUUCGGGUUGUAAACCGCUUCCGCCUGUGACGCAGCGUGAGUGACGGUAAUGGGUAAAGAAGCACCGGCUAACUACGUG